Chelonus insularis is the source of this 3036-nucleotide RNA transcript. It is a transcript of the gene named Heat shock factor, with no coding region annotated. NCBI's taxonomy places the organism in Eukaryota, Metazoa, Arthropoda, Insecta, Hymenoptera, Braconidae. The transcript has 13 exons. The record is from RefSeq and is a predicted model, not a curated record.
UAAAUAGAUUUAUAACAAAAACACAAACAGAAUUGACAAUUUGUUACUUUUUUAACCCAUCAUUUAUACGAUUCCACAAUUCAAUUCCCGCUCGUCCCGCACGGCGGUAGUAUCGUUGCAGAACAACAUCGUCAGCGUACGGCCAUUACUGUUAAAUGUGGUGAGAUGUAAAGAUACAUUCGUUGAAACAACGACAAAAAAUAAAACAAUAAAAUAUUUAUAUGUUGUAACGAAGAUUAAACUAAAGUUAUUAAAAUGCAUACUGUAAUGGAGGUUGAAACAAGCGUCCCAGCUUUUCUUGGGAAGCUUUGGAAACUCGUUGAAGAUCCUGAGACCGACGACCUUAUUUGUUGGGCACCCAAUGGAAGGAGUUUUUUUAUUAGAAAUUCGGCACAAUUCGCUAGAGAAUUAUUGCCACAUUAUUACAAACACAACAACAUGGCUAGUUUUGUUCGACAACUUAAUAUGUACGGCUUCCACAAGAAAGUAUCAGUGGAACUUGGAGGUCUUAAAUGUGAUAGAGAUGAAAUGGAAUUUGCUCAUCAAUACUUUAUUAAAGAUCACCCUUAUCUAUUGGAACAUAUUAAAAGAAAGAUUGCAUCAAGCAAAUCGCAAGAUGCUCACCCACCGAUUAAAACAGAGAUGAUGAAUAAAGUGUUAAACGAAGUGAGAAGUAUGCGAGGUCGUCAGGAACACAUGGACUCAAGACUUGGUACAAUGAAGAGAGAAAAUGAAGCUCUGUGGCGAGAACUUGCGAUGCUCAGGCGGAAACAUCUUAAACAACAGGAAAUUGUUAAUAAACUAAUACACUUUUUAGUUACACUUGUUCAACCAUCAAGAAGUGGUGGAUUAUCAGUUAAAAGGCGUUAUCCACUUAUGAUCGAUGAUCAUCAACGCAACAAAAAAAUAAAAGUGGGAAAAAACGUACCUGAAGCAUCACCUACGGGGCCUGUGAUACAUGAACUAGAUGCCUCUGAACAUGAUCAUCAUGAAGAUCUUGACUCUGAAUAUAUCGUAGCAGAGAUGUUGGAAAAUCAUCAACAUCCAGCUAUUCAGAGUCCUGAGUCCAUGGAAGCCGUUUUAGAUGAUGAAAAUAUUGAAACGGUGCAGUAUAUAGAGGGUAUGAUACCUGUAAAAGGUGAAACUCAACCAUUACAACAAGAAUGUUCUUCAAAGAAAAAAGCUGUUUUUAAACCAACGAAAAAGAAGAGGAAAAACAAGCUGCCAGUCAAAAUAUUGAUCCCAUCAUCGGAAAUCGGAGAAGAACCCAGGGAAGAAAGAUUAAUGCUUGAAGUGAGCCCGGAUGAAACUCCAGUGCCAAUCGAGUUAUUGGGGUCCAAUACACCGCAGCAGUUGAAGCCAGUGCCUGUGAAGACAGUGAGGAGUUCAAAGCUGGCAGCAAUGGCAGCAAACAUCAAGAUGAAUAGUGCUGAAGCUGAUGAAGACCCUGAUUCAGACGAGGUGGAGGAAGACCCCAAGGAGGCUACUGAAAUUGUAGAUGUUAACUUAGAUGACAUUUUAAUCAUCCCUGAUGUACUAUUGCCUGAAGAAACUAAAAAAUUAGUCAAUGGAGAAUUGAAUAAUAAAUCUCCAGAUGAAACUAAAAAAUCAGAUACAACUGUAGAUAGUACAAAAGAAAAACCUGCUCAAGAUAAGAAUUCUACUCAGGUGACAGAUCUUGAAAAUAAGAGUCCAGAUGAAGGCGAUGCCGCUUCUAGCAGUUCAACUAAGAGUUUGUCCUUGAGUUGCGUAAAUCCUUCAGGAAUGACUAAUGCUGCUUACAGGUUAGGAUCGAUAGAAGAGAUGGAUAAUCAUUUGGAGUCAAUGCAAACGGAACUUGAAAAUUUGCGUGAAAUUUUACGCAAUGAAGGUUACAGUAUCGAUGCCAAUACAUUACUUGGACUGUUUGGUAACGAUGAUCCAAUGUCAUUUGGAAUACCUGUCAAUCCCGAACUAGAUCCAACUCGUACUGAACGAGAAGAGGAAGAGCGUCUAGAGGAAACAUCAAAUGGACCAACCGGACAAGAACUUAUGACGUACAAUCCAUCAUCGAAUUUACUGGAUUUCGAUGAUGAUAUAUUUCUUGGUGCUAAUAACUUGGGUUCAUCCAGUAAUAUGGAGAAUCAAAAUGAAACAAAUGGAUACUACACUCAGGAACCUCUAGAUUUGGAGGAUAGUAAAGCAUUGUUACUCGAUUCCUUGGUUUCUGGAAAUGGAAACUCAUCGUCUAUGCGAUCAUAAAUUAUCAAUUAAUUGUUGAUAACAGAGUUGCGUCUCUUUUGACAUGGUCAAUCGGUCACUUGGUUUCACCUUCCAGUUGCGUUCUAAGUUUCGCGACAUGCCUGAUAAUGACCUCGGAGGAAAUACUGGAUUAUCUUAUAGGGCAGUCAGUAAUUCUACAUAACAAUUUAAGCAGAGCAAAAAUAAUAAUUAGAUAUAAAAAGUCCGUACAUAUAUCACUAAUUUAAUAAUUAGUCUAUCAAGCACAUUAUAAUGUUAAUAGGUUUAUGAUAAUAUUAUGAAAGCUGAAAAGAAAUUAUUAUUACAAUGAACAAAAAAUAUUUAAAGUAUUUAUCGAAUAAUAAAUACUAUUUGUAUGUUUACACAAAUUUCUCUGUGAGAGAUUAAGUAUCAGCUUUGUGCUUUUAGCUGAAAAAAAGAAAAACAUAUUGUCGUAUUUGUGAAACGUGAAAUAUUACGGAAAUAAUAAAUAUAAAAUGAAGGUCAUAAAAUACAAUAAAUUCUGUAAUCGGUAAAAAAAAUUAUCAAAUUUUUUAAUUUGUCGUUCUAUAAAAAUGCAAAAUUAGCCAAAGUAGACAAUGUUAAUUGAUGUACUAAAUAAGAUAAUUCGUCAUGAUCUUCAUUAAAUACGUAAUGUAUACAAAAUGUAUUGACUGAUGACGAUAAAACGUUUCUAUAACAUUGUUAUUUAAUAACAUAAAUAUUUAUGUCAACAAUAUAUUAUAUUGUUAUAUAUUAUAAUAAUUAUAACAAUAUAUUAAAAUUGAUUGUUUUAGUACUUUCUAAAAUGUAAAA